This 7070-nucleotide long non-coding RNA is filed under the name Malus domestica (apple). RNAcentral describes it as "long non-coding RNA (MDOM_LNC008531)". The record is from RNAcentral. Lineage: Eukaryota; Viridiplantae; Streptophyta; Magnoliopsida; Rosales; Rosaceae.
GUGCAGCGGCACAUGGCCAGUAGAUCGCCGUUGCUAUUUUACGCUAAAUCAAUACCUUGAUCUUAGAUUUGAUAUCUGUAUGAUGUGAUUUGCUUAUUGUGAACCUAGUUUGAUUAAGAUAUGUUACUUGGUAAAAAUAUGAAUCAAUGAACCGACCGUUGGAUCAUCACCAGACUUUAAUAUCUUUUAAUACGUAAUAUUUGAGGACCAUAGAAACUUAAGGAUCAAGAAUCCGACGUCCAGAUCUUCCUGAAUUGGAUUUGUAAGUUGAUAAAAUAAAACGUUAACUGCCACUUGAAUUUGUAAUUGGCGGAGAUCCAACCGUUGCAUCGUAAUGAAACUUUAGGAUGUUGUUCUAUAAGCAUAAUGUGGAUCUUUGGAAGUAAGGGAUUGGAAAUCCGUGGUGCGGAUCUUCCAGAUCGAAUUACGUAGGGAUGUGUUUUAUGUAAGUUACAUAUUCUAUCAAUAAGAUUUCUGAGACAUGAUUUGAUAAUUGUUCUAGGCGGCGAUUGUUCAUGACACCUUGAUGUGUGUGCUAGGGAGUUGUAGCACGGAAUCCAAGUGAGUGGGCUUUUGAUUUUCAAUAUAUGUAUAUAUGCUUUACGUUUUUCCCAGAAAAUUGAUUUAAAUGAUUUUGCAUUUUAAAUGCCAUGUCAAUUGUUUUAUAUUUUAGAAUAUGCAUUAGUAGUUAUGUAUGUUAGUAUUUGACGCUGUGGAUGCUCGGUAAGUUCUAGUGAGUAGAUGUUGAUGAUAGAGAUUGCAGCGUAUAUGAUUGUGAUGAGAUGCAUUUAAACCUCAUUAUUCUGCAUCCCGAUGCUAGUGCUUCCUCCCGUGGCCAGGGCACAGUCCUUUACAUGAUGUUCACCUCUCACACCGCACAUUCACCUUGGAUCCAUGUUUGGUGCACAGCCCUGUCGUACAGACCAUAAUAGGUGGUUCUGACUCAUAGGUGACCCGCGAUUUAUUGCACAACCUUCACUUGAUCGUAGCACUUGAACGUACUUAUUUGCACCCAACCCUGUCGUAUAGACCACCUUAGGUGUUUCCGACUUGUGUGCAGGAUUAGAGAGUUGAGCAAAAGGUUCAGCCGUAUAGGUCACAUUAGGUGACUCCGGCUAACAUAUCAUUUUACAUUGAAUUGUUUCACCUGGUGAUGCGAGAAUUACUUGACACACAAAUUAAACCCUCUUUUUGACAAUUGUAGUAUAGAUGUAAGUAGGGUAUCGUUCUAGGCCGGGGAUUAGGAGGGAUUGCUAAUCUAUUCUAAAUUAAUUUAAAAAUAUUAAAAAAGACUCAAGGACACAAAACUAGGCUAAAAACUCUAAUAACUUGAAACACACUUAGAAUGACUCAAAAUAAUGGAAACACUCAAUUUAGACACUAGGAACUGAAAUGGACGGAAAUUGAAUUAAAAGACAACAAUGAAAACUAACUAAAUAAUAUAAUUUAAUAAUGGGGGGUGUUUGGUUUUGACGAGAAGUAAAUUAAACUUAAAUAAAUUACAGAAUUGACAAAAACAUGAAAUUAAGGUGAAAGGAUAGGUGACGGACUAGCUAGAGGGUUUUUCUCCACACAUGACACAUAUGCAACCUAAAUUGAUUUUCAGUUGUUCUUUCAAUAAAUUGUGAAUCUCAACACUUCAGAUUAACCGUGAACAGCACUUUUUUAAUCUUCAAGUUUUCCUUAAGUUAUUGAAUUGGACGGGAAAACGCAUACAACAAUUCAAAACAUUCUUCAAAAGUCCCCUACGUGAAAAGCACAAUAGAGAUACAAUCAAAGAUCAUUAAACUUUGUGAAAACUAUAAGCAUUGACGAGGCAUUCGUAAACACUCCCUCCUGUAAAUGUGAAUUGGACGGGCUAAUUUUGUUCCACAACACACUUGAGCUCCCUCUUGUAAACACUCCCUCCUGUAAACUUCCAAAAUCUUAAUCAGUCCGACUCUCUUCUUUCUUCACCACCUUCAGAAAAUGUCUGGCCCGUCCGAUCGUCGUUUUGACUUGAACAUUGGUGAAGAGGCAGCUCCGCCUUCACCAGACAACAUAUGGCGCCCAUCUUUCAUAUCCCCUACCGGUCCUCUUACCGUUGGGGAUUCGGUGAUGAAAAAUGACAUGACCGCUGCGGUGGUGGCCCGGAACCUUGUCACUCCCAGAGAUAACAGACUGCUCGCUAGACGGUCUGAUGAAUUGGCGGUUAAGGAGUCUCUGGCUCUUAGCGUGCAGUGUGCUGGUUCUGUGUCCAACAUGGCCCAACGCCUAUAUGCUCAAACCCGUCACGUUGAAUCGUUGGUGGCUGAAAUACAGAGUCUCAAAGAGGAGAUUAGAGGACUCAAGCAUGAAAAUAAACAAUUGCAUAAGCUCGCACACAGCUAUGCCACCAGCAUGAAGAGGAAGAUUGACCAGAUGCAGGACACUGAUGGUCAAAUUUUACUGGAUCAUUGGAAGUUUGUGGGUCUGUUCCAACAGCAUCUGCCUUCAUCUUCUGGAGCGGCACCGCGUAGUGAAGCUCCAAUUGAUCAACCUCUGUUGCCUCCUCCUUCUGUUGCCCCGCCGACUGCUGAAGCACCGCCGACUACUGAAGCACCACCUGACCAAUGAAUGCUAUUAGUUCACACAUCAUUGUAAAAUAUUUUUAAGUUAAUGUUUUUUUUUUUUUUUUUUUAAUUAUAUGUAAAUUAAUGUAGAAAGACUUUGGUUAACCUUCCCCCACACUUAAACUAAAUAACACAAACUUACAGAAAUUAACCAAAUAACACAACUAACUAAACAAAACAAAAUGAAAGCAGUAAAGAUAAGGGUGUAAGAAUUCAAAUCUGAUUUGGUUAGCGAUUCCAAAGUCUCCCUUCGUUGAAUGCUUGGGUUGCCUCCCAAGAAGCGCUUGAUUUAACGUCUUUAGCCGGACGAAUCUUUCCUUUAAACUCCCCUCGGCUCCAAAGCAUGGAAUUUAUCUUUUAAUGGGAGGUGAUACUUGAAAUGAUUCGGCAAUGGUUUAAAUUCAAGAGUGGGUGCCUGAAUCAUCAAAAUCAGAAACAUGUUAGUAUAAGUUAAAAUUAAAUUUGGAGAAGAUGGCUUACUUUCUUUUUCCGACAUAAACUCAAUGACAAACACCACAUUUGUGAACAUUUCUGGGACUUUGAACUUGGCCAGGUUUACUAUGAUGGUUGUGGCGUGUCCCGUGUCAUCAAACUCAACUGCUUUGGGCUUGAUUGUCUCAUGCACAGCCUCUUGGAUGUAUUCUUGAUAUGCUUCAACCACUUCAUUCUCUUGAAUCCCUUUUCUUGGUGUGCAAGGUUCUUUGAACAUUUCAAUACCAUCGGGAAUUUGUUUUGGUGCACCAAGAAUUAGGAUAUCACUUUGCACCUUUGGAAGAGCUUCCACAAUGUCUUUUUCACUCUCUUUGAAAUUUGGAAUAAAAAACCUGCAAGGACAAAGGACAUUCGGUGGAAUAAUGUUAGAAUGAAGUGAAUUUAUAACUUCCUCACCUGAGUUAGAUGACAUAGGGAUUUGAGGAGCUUGCAGCAAGAAUUCUUCUAAACUGCCCAGGUCGUCCUCCUCCUCUUCUGCUUGCAGCAGCAAUUCAUCCAUGUUCGGGCUGUGUUUGGAUGGUUCUAGGACAGCUUCAUCCUUCAUGUCACCUUCCAAAGUGAUGGCUUCAUCGAUUUCACUUUCUGCUUUUGAAUUUGCAAUGUUUGAGUUGGAAAGUUCACUUUGAUCUCGAAUCUGUGCCAUGAAUUCCACAAUCUGCCCAACUUGCAUCUCCAAUUCAUCCACUCUUUUGACUCGGUCUUGCAUCUCCUGGUUUUGAUUUUCUACUCCCUGAUUCAAAGAGGUGAGUAACUUAUUAAGUGUAUCAUUAUCCAAGGAUGUACCUGAAUUGAAUUGGGUUGAUUGUUGUGGUGGCUGUGACGGUUCAUAUGGCCACUGAUAGAACUCUUCCGAUGGCGGCAAUUGUUCUUCUUUUCGUAAACCCUGCGCCACAGAAAUUAGUCCUUCAAGAAUUUCAUUAUAAUUCAUGGGCAUACUUUGAUUUGAUUGGAAUUGUUGUGGGGGAUGCUGUGGUGGCUGCAUAGGUCUUGAAAUAGAACUCGUCUUGCUGCCAAUAUCCACCUUGUUGAAAUUGUUGAGGUUCAUCCCACAUAUAAUAUGAAUUACCUCUCUCCAAUCUGAAUUGCAAGCGUUGGAAAACAUGUUGCCCCUUGAUUGGUUAUAACCUUGAUAUCCCCAAACAUCUUCAUUGGCAGAAAAUUGAGGACUUUGAUAUCCUUGCCCAUAGGGCACAUCAAGUGUAGGGACACUUGGCAUUGUGGUCCGUUCGGCAUUAUGAGUCAAUUGAGCAGUGAGCUGUGCCAAUUGAGCUUGAAUGGUCGCAAGUGCCAUGUCUCGCUCCAUUUGUACCUAAAAUCAAAGAAAGAAAAAUAAAUCAAAUAUCAAAAGUAAAAUACACAAACACCAAUAUAAACAUAAACAAAAACAAAAAUAAAGGGAUUAGCAAAGUUGCUAAUCCCCGGCAACGGCGCCAAAAUUUGAUGCGAGAAUUACUUGACACACAAAUUAAACCCUCUUUUUGACAAUUGUAGUAGGGAUUGCUAAUCUAUUCUAAAUUAAUUUAAAAAUAUUAAAUAAGACUCAAGGACACAAAACUAGGCUAAAAACUCUAAUAACUUGAAACACACUUAGAAUGACUCAAAAUAAUGGAAACACUCAAUUUAGACACUAGGAACUGAAAUGGACGGAAAUUGAAUUAAAAGACUAACAACAAUGAAAACUAACUAAAUAAUAUAAUUUAAUAAUGGGGGGUGUUUGGUUUUGACGAGAAGUAAAUUAAACUUAAAUAAAUUACAGAAUUGACAAAAACAUGAAAUUAAGGUGAAAGGAUAGGUGACGGACUAGCUAGAGGGUUUUUCUCCACACAUGACACAUAUGCAACCUAAAUUGAUUUUCAGUUGUUCUUUCAAUAAAUUGUGAAUCUCAACACUUCAGAUUAACCGUGAACAGCACUUUUUUAAUCUUCAAGUUUUCCUUAAGUUAUUGAAUUGGACGGGAAAACGCAUACAACAAUUCAAAACAUUCUUCAAAAGUCCCCUACGUGAAAAGCACAAUAGAGAUACAAUCAAAGAUCAUUAAACUUUGUGAAAACUAUAAGCAUUGACGAGGCAUUCGUAACUAUGAAAAGCAUGAUACUCUUGCCAAGAAUUCACUUAACGUGAUUGUGACUAGCAACCUUCACUACUUGUGAAUAUAAGUUCAUAACGAUUAGGUGAAAUUCACUUAUAUUCUAGCAUCAAAUUCAUGCAUGUAAAUUAAGUAUGCAUCCUUAAUCGACAUACAAAAAUAAGUUAUAAAUCAAGCAGUUAAGCAAUUAAAUCACAACUCAGAAAUCACAACUGAAGGUAAUCAAUUCAAAUUACAAAUAUAUUCAUGGCUUUGAAUUAACCUCUAGCCAAAAUAAGUUUAUUUACACAUUAUUAAAAUAGAAAUAAAAUAGAAGUUUGGAAAGAUUAAACCGAGAGAGAGGAGAGUGCUUGUUGCUUCUGUCUGUCUGACUUCCCUUUCUGAUCCAGUCUGCCCUCUCUUGCCGUGCCUGCCCAUUGCCUCUGUCUCUCUGUUUUCGCACUCUAACCUCUCUCCCCUCUGACCUGCGUCUAUCCUCACGCUGCCAAAGGCAGCCCUCCUUUCUUUCCGCCCCCCAGCUGCAAAGCAACUUUCCUCCCGCGUCAAUCCCCCCCUGUUUUUCUGCGCCUCCUGCGCUCUCUGCGAACUGCCCAAAGGCAGCUCCUCCCUCUAUGUCCUCCUCUCUCCCCUUAUUUCCUCCUCCUCUCCCCUUAUUUCCUCCUGCCUUUUCUUCUUAUUUUAUGCGCCCCCAGCUGCCAAAGCAGCAUCUGCCUUCCACCUCCCCGUGUCUCAGCUUUCCCCCUUUUUUUUAUUUUUCUAUUCCAUCUUUUCCCGCAUACUCCUGCCUUCCACUCCUCACGUUUCCACCUUGGAUUCCUUCCUUUCCAGCUGCAAAGCAGCUUCCUGUUGUUUUCAGAAGUGAAGAAUAUGGGAGUCAACGAGGUAAAAAAAAAUAUAAAUCAUGAUGCUCUCUUGCUCCCUCUUUGACCGACUCUCACCAUUUCUUUUGUUUAUGCCGUGACAUAAUUCUACCAAUAAUCCAUGACAAAAUGAGAACGACUAAAGCAAUUUUCGACGAAUUUAUUAUUUAAAACUCAUUUGUGCUAUUUUUAUUUUCUUUGCAUAACAAAUCCUAUAAACACAAAAAUAACGUAAAUAGCUCAAAAAUGUAAGGAACUAACUAAGAAAAGACGAGUGAAUUCGAAGUAAAAAUAUAUAUAAAUAUGAUCCGAUCACCUGGCUUACAUAUUUAUUACUGAGAUACUCGACAUGGCAUAUACUUGGUUUUUGCUGCUCUCGAGUAUGAUUUCUAUAUAUGUACGUAUUGCUAUUUUCUGGGAAAACUAUACGGGUUUUACGGUGAAGGGUCAUUAUGUUUAGAAAGAGAAAUAUGUUUUCGAAAGCUUUGUUUUUGCCCACUCACGUUUUCUGUUUUUUCGCCCCUCCAGGCUUGAACUGCUGAGCGAUCGUAUUGACGAGUGUUAAUACAUGUGGCUACUUCUAAGGGUAUGAUCUUUACCCACUCUACUGUACUUUACUUAUGCUCUGACGUCACAUGUGAGAUGGGUUCAUUUCCGCUCACUAGUGCACUUUGUAUUUAGGCACAUUUAGGUUUUAAAUUUAUUUACAUUUUCCAUAUCACUACACUUUAUGGCUUCGUUACCUUGCAGGUGUCGGCCAGCACAGCCUGAUUCGGAAUCUUAGUGGACAUUCCGAUUCAGGAUGUGUUAAUGUAUUUAAAAAAUAAAUAAAAUAAAAAUUAUUAUUUAAAAUCUUUGUGCAAUGAAAGUCAAAUAUUUCGUCGCCGAAAUCCAAUUUAUUUUCUCUAAUAUUUAAUUUUAUAUUUGAAAUUGUAAAAUAAAAUUAUUUUCAUAGUUUUUAUUAUUUUUUUAAACUUUGCACGAUGAAUAUGAAUAUUUUGUCGCCUCAACCUUAUUAAUUUUAUUUUUUAUAUUGUUAAA